UACGUAUGGUGCAAGCGUUAUCCGGAUUUACUGGGCGUAAAGGGAGCGCAGGCGGCGCGCCUAGUCUGAUGUGAAACCCCGGGGCUCAACCCCGGGCAUGCAUUGGAAACUGGCGGGCUGGAGUGCCGGAGAGGUAAGCGGAAUUCCUAGUGUAGCGGUGAAAUGCGUAGAUAUUAGGAGGAACACCAGUGGCGAAGGCGGCUUACUGGACGGCAACUGACGCUGAGGCUCGAAAGCGUGGGGAGCAAACAGG
Molecule: ribosomal RNA, 253 nt
Filed under: uncultured bacterium
Lineage: Bacteria
Description: partial 16S ribosomal RNA
Rfam family: Bacterial small subunit ribosomal RNA
Source: RNAcentral